GCCAAAUUGUUAUUUCUCUCUCUCUCUCUCUCUCUCUCUCUCUCUCUCUCUCUCUCUCUCUCUGUAUGUGUGUGUGUGUGUGUGUGUGUGAGAGAGAGAGAGAGAGAGAGGUAGGGUGAGUGUGUAUGCUUGUCUGC
Molecule: microRNA precursor, 137 nt
Filed under: Marmota monax (woodchuck)
Lineage: Eukaryota; Metazoa; Chordata; Mammalia; Rodentia; Sciuridae
Source: RNAcentral